Molecule: unclassified non-coding RNA, 279 nt
Filed under: Hevea brasiliensis (rubber tree)
Lineage: Eukaryota; Viridiplantae; Streptophyta; Magnoliopsida; Malpighiales; Euphorbiaceae
Source: RNAcentral
AAAAAAUACAUAUAUCUGGUUGAUUGUUUGUGACACUUGACAAUGGUGGACACAAUAAACAAUGCUACUUUUUUAGCAAAAUAGUUCAAGUCUAUUAGUAUUUCAGUUGCAUGGUUGGAUUGCAUUUGCAGAGAUCUAUAGACAGAGUUGGUAUUUGAUAAUAGAAAUAGGAUUUUUCAAUGAGAUUGAUUCUGAAAACACCCCAGUUGGUGAAAUGCUAUAGGCAGAGUUUAGAUUGUUGCUCUCCUACGGAUGUAGUUUGAUAUGCAGUUAAAGGUU